AGCACGCCGCGUGAGCGAUGAAGGCCUUCGGGUCGUAAAGCUCUGUUGUCAGAGAAGAACAAGUACCGGAGUAACUGCCGGUACCUUGACGGUACCUGACCAGAAAGCCACGGCUAACUACGUGCCAGCAGCCGCGGUAAUACGUAGGUGGCAAGCGUUAUCCGGAAUUAUUGGGCGUAAAGCGCGCGCAGGCGGUUCUUUAAGUCUGAUGUGAAAGCCCACGGCUCAACCGUGGAGGGUCAUUGGAAACUGGGGAACUUGAGUGCAGGAGAGAAAAGUGGAAUUCCACGUGUAGCGGUGAAAUGCGUAGAGAUGUGGAGGAACACCAGUGGCGAAGGCGGCUUUUUGGCCUGUAACUGACGCUGAGGCGCGAAAGCGUGGGGAGCAAACAGGAUUAGAUACCCUGGUAGUCCACGCCGUAAACGAUGAGUGCUAGGUGUUGGGGGGUUCCACCCUCAGUGCUGACGUUAACGCAUUAGGCACUCCGCCUGGGGAGUACGGCCGCAAGGCUGAAACUCAAAGGAAUUGACGGGGGCCCGCACAAGCAGUGGAGCACGUGGUUUAAUUCGAAGCAACGCGAAUAACCUUAGCGGGUCUUGACAUCCUCUGACCACUUGAGAGAUCAAGCUUUCCCCUUCGGGGGACAGAGUGACAUGUGGUGCAUGGUUGUCGUCAGCUCGUGUCGUGAGAUGUUGGGUUAACUCCCGCAACGAGCGCAACCGUUGACCUUAGUUGCCAUCAUUAAGUUGGGCACUCUACGGUGACUGCCUGGUGACGGACCGGAGGAUUGUCGGCUCAUGACGUCAAAUCAUCAUGCCUCUGAUGACCCGCGCUAGACGAGUGCUGCAGUGUGUAGAUACAAACUGAUUGCAAAGGCCGCGGCGCGCUCAUCCAAUCCCAAAAAUCACGUCUAAGUUCGCACUGUACGCUAGCACUCGGCUAGCUUGGAAGCCUGAUUUGCCUAUGAAUCGCUGAUCAGCUGCGUCGAUGAGACGC
This 996-nucleotide ribosomal RNA is filed under the name Fictibacillus sp. RNAcentral's name for it is "bacterial SSU rRNA". It matches the Rfam family "Bacterial small subunit ribosomal RNA", at positions 390 to 1371 of the family's 1533-position model. Lineage: Bacteria; Bacillati; Bacillota; Bacilli; Caryophanales; Fictibacillaceae. The record is from RNAcentral.